UCUCUAAGUGUUGUUGUUGUGGUUCGAGAGACUUCCACGACUUCGCACGAGGUGGACGUGCACCAUUUCAUCCUCGAGCUUCACUGUGUAAAGCCGCGUGUUUCCUUUAGCGAUGGCGGAUAAUAAGACCAAGGCUGCCGCCUUGAAGGAUGAGGGUAAUGCUGCUCUUAGUGCCGGAAAUGUGCAAGAAGCUGUUAAUAAAUACUCAGAAGCUAUUGCACUUGAUCCAGAAAAA
Long non-coding RNA from Penaeus monodon (black tiger shrimp), 235 nucleotides. RefSeq lists it as uncharacterized. NCBI's taxonomy places the organism in Eukaryota, Metazoa, Arthropoda, Malacostraca, Decapoda, Penaeidae. The record is from RefSeq and is a predicted model, not a curated record. The transcript has 2 exons.